CCUACGGGCGGCUGCCGUGAGGACUAUUGGUCCAUGGGCGCGAGCCUGAACCAGCCAAGUAGCGUGAAGGCUGACUGCCCUACGGGUUGUACACUUCUUUUAUAAAGGAAUAAAGUGAGGCAAGUGUGCCUUUUUGUAUGUACUUUAUGAAUAAGGAUCGGCUAACUCCGUGCCAGCAGCCGCGGUACUACGGAGGAUCCGAGCGUUAUCCGGAUUUCUUGGGGUUAAAGGGAGCGUAGAUGGGUUGUUAAGGCAGUUGUGAAAGUUUGCGGCUCAAACGUAAAAUUGCAAUUGAUACUGGCAGUCUUGAGUACAGUUGAGGUAGGCGGAACUCGUGGUGUAGCGGUGAAAUGCUUAG
RNAcentral lists this ribosomal RNA (358 nucleotides) under uncultured bacterium. RNAcentral describes it as "partial 16S ribosomal RNA". It matches the Rfam family "Bacterial small subunit ribosomal RNA", at positions 338 to 693 of the family's 1533-position model. The record is from RNAcentral.